UUACAUACAACAUUAUCCUUGCCAAUUCUAGGUUUUAUUUGAAGACACAAUGUGAAUCGUUGGUAGAAACAUUAAAGCCAACCAUCUCUCUGAAAAGACUCUGACGACGAUUAAAGGAAACAUCCUUGUUUAAAUCUAGCGAGAACCCUUAGUAGCGGCGAGCGAAUUGGAAUACACUAAAAUAUAAGGAGAAAAUAGGUAUAAGCCAUAUCUAAGUGUACAUACGUAAACCUAUAGAGAUAGUACUGUGAAGGAAUUGAAAUUGCGCACAAGGCUAAUACCCCUGCUCACACAGAGCUUACCUUUUGUAUAAUGAGCUUGUUAGAGUAAACCUGGCAAACUCCGUGUUUAAGUCAGGCUUUCCCGAAACUGAGUGAUCUGCUCUUAGGUAGCUUUAGGAGCGAACCGGUGGUUGUUGCAAAAACUUCGGAUAACCUAAGAGCGGGGGUGAAAUACUAAUCGAACUCAGAAAUAGCUGGUUUUCUAUUAAAAUUUUAUAAGAAGCACCCACAGGCAAUUUGCUGCCACCGAACGCCAGCAAAUAUUUAUGCGGGAGCCAGGGCAUCGGCGACAAGGUCGAUGCUCUAAUGGGUAACAGCCCACCAUAGAAGUUUUGGACAUAUAAAUAUUUAGUGUACAAGAAAGAAAGGUAAAAACACAGGGUAAAUUGGCUUGGAGACAGCCACUUUAUAAAUAGCGCGUAACAGUGAACCCUCAGAACCUAUACUUUCACAAUCAUGGUGGCUAAAUACCUCCAAAACUCUAUUGUGGUAAUAGAACACUCCGUCUUCGCAUGAGGGUACUAAACGGAGGAGAUAAUGCAAGCAUGAAUAAUAAAAAUCCUAAAGAAACUAGAUUUUAAACAGCCUGUAAACACAAAAUGAGUAUUAUAUGAACUCAAGGGCGGGAAAUAAUAUAGUUAAUUACUGUUCUAUCUAACGCAAGUAGGAGAAAUAGUAAGCCAACUCUUUCUAAGGAACUCGGCAAACUUGUAAUAGUAUUACUGAAUAAUAUCGACUGUUUACCAAAAACAUAGCCCCCUUUGACCCUUAGGAGGUGCAACCUGCCCAGUGGCUGGGAAUAACAUUAUAGAUAACAACAGUUAAAUGGCCGCGGUAACUCUGACCGUGAUAAAGUAGCAUAAUCACUUGUCACUUAAUUGGUGACUGGUAUGAAUGGUUAAACGAAUAUUCACCUGUCUCGGAUAGAGACUUUAUAAAAUUGAAUUUGCAGUGAAGAUGCUGCGAGUGAAUUGCAAGACGAAAAGACCCUAUUGAGCUUUACUGGAGGUUUGCAUGUAUAAUUAAUAAUAGUGCUAUACAAUUUGCCUGUGCAAACUUGACAGUUUGGUUGGGGCGACCACCCCUAAAAAAGUAACAGGGGAGACUUCAUGGUUAACAUAAUGCACUAAGCCUAACUGACAUAACUACAAUUUAUACAGACACACAAUGUGUGGGGCAUAAUGACCCGCUUGCGAUAGCCUACUACCAAGCGAUCACGGAAAAAGUUACCAUAGGGAUAACAGGGUAAUAUUUUCGAAGAGCUCUAAUCGAUGAAAAUGUUUGCCACCUCGAUGUUGAAUUGUGAUAUCCUGGGGGUGCAGCAGCUCCCAAAGGUUGGUCUGUUCGACCAUUAAAAUCAUACAUGAUUUGAGUUCAUUCCGUCGUAAGACAGGAAGGUUUCUAUCUACAAUUUUGGGAGCCGCUUAUAUUUCUUAGUACGAAAGGAAUUGAAACUAUUGUUCUUGGAACAUAGGAAAAGACUGACCGAAUAUAAGUCAUUGACAGCCCUACAAUUAUAU
Molecule: ribosomal RNA, 1801 nt
Filed under: Pelagia noctiluca
Lineage: Eukaryota; Metazoa; Cnidaria; Scyphozoa; Semaeostomeae; Pelagiidae
Description: large subunit ribosomal RNA
Rfam family: Bacterial large subunit ribosomal RNA (bases 181-1714)
Source: RNAcentral